GCCAGGUGUCCCACUACAGGCACCUGUAGUCCCAGCUACUCGGGAGCCUGAGGCAGGAGGAUCACUUGAGUCCAGGAGUUCUGGGCUGUAGUGCGCUAUACCUAUUGGGUGUCCACACUAAGUUCGGCAUCAAUAUGGUGACCUCCCGGGAGUGGGGGACCACCAGGUUGCCUAAGGAGGGGUGAACCGGCCCAGGUCGGAAAUGGAGCAGGUCAAAAUUCCCGUGCUGAUCAUUUACACCAUUUUAAGACAGGGAGAAAGAGUGUGAAGAGUUAUAAUAUAGCUAAUGACAUUGCAAUCUUGAUCUUACAAUUUCACAAUUCUCUU
RNAcentral lists this signal recognition particle RNA (327 nucleotides) under Neotoma lepida (desert woodrat). RNAcentral describes it as "Metazoan signal recognition particle RNA". It matches the Rfam family "Metazoan signal recognition particle RNA". From Rfam's summary of the family: The signal recognition particle (SRP) is a universally conserved ribonucleoprotein. It is involved in the co-translational targeting of proteins to membranes. The eukaryotic SRP consists of a 300-nucleotide 7S RNA and six proteins: SRPs 72, 68, 54, 19, 14, and 9. Lineage: Eukaryota; Metazoa; Chordata; Mammalia; Rodentia; Cricetidae. The record is from Rfam by way of RNAcentral.